CGGCGAGGGGAGUGAAAAAGAACCUGAAACCGUGUACGUACAAGCAGUAGGAGCCCCAUCACUCAAGUGCCUCGCACUGAGUGAUGCAAGAACAUCACCGAAAAUAGCGCCGAAUUUGCUAACAAGGUUGGUCGAUUUUUUCAAGCCGUCGCGCAGUGUACCUAGAAGUACACGAGCAACGGAAGUUAAAAAUUCGGGCAAGAUUGAACGCAAAGGCAAGCGGGACAUUUGAGGAUGGGGUGACUGCGUACCUUUUGUAUAAUGGGUCAGCGACUUAUAUUCUGUAGCA
Molecule: ribosomal RNA, 289 nt
Filed under: Proteus mirabilis
Lineage: Bacteria; Pseudomonadati; Pseudomonadota; Gammaproteobacteria; Enterobacterales; Morganellaceae
Description: partial 23S ribosomal RNA
Rfam family: Bacterial large subunit ribosomal RNA
Source: RNAcentral